This is a long non-coding RNA of Ictalurus punctatus (channel catfish), 5008 nucleotides long. NCBI's taxonomy places the organism in Eukaryota, Metazoa, Chordata, Actinopteri, Siluriformes, Ictaluridae. The record is from Ensembl.
GCGCGCGCGCGCGAGUGUGUGUGUACUCACAGCAGUACACUGUCUCAAUAGACAGGACUGUUUCAUGCGUCCCGGUCCCCCGAACUUCUUCAUGUCCUUGCAGAAGUGACACUCUCCACACUCGGAGCGCAUACAGGCCUGACAGCGCCGGCAACGGGUACGGCGCCGCCUCGCCCCCCCCCAGAGCCUUACUGCCCGACAUCACCUCUACACUCUGAACACACACACACACAGGAGAGAAACAUGGGCGUAAGCACGGAUAUAUUACGAUUAUAAUAAUAAUAAUAAUAAUAAUAAUAAUAAUAAUAAAUUUACAACAGAUAUAAAAGUUUACAAGUUAAAUCACCUCAGAUCUUUUUCCACUUUUAAUGUGAAAUAGCAACUAAAAUGUUUUAGGGGAAAACGUACAGUAACCUGGAUGAAUAACAGACGUGUUAAACAUAAAACACAGAACCUUCUGUAUCAGAUCACCCGAGUAUUAUGCGAACAAAAGCACAGGAACAGAGCGGUCCUGAAGUAAAUGAGAGUAAAUAACACUUGAUAUUCAGUUGCGUAUCUGUUACUCGCAGUAACUGCAUCACUCCUGCGACUCACUGACACCAAACUGCUGUUUCUUCUUCUGUGAAGCUUCUCCAGGUUUCUACUGCAGCCUCUUGCAGUAGUUGUGUAUUUCGGGGGUGUUCUCCCUUCAGUUGGGUGAAGGUCUGGUGAUGGACUUGUCCAGUCUAACACCUUCCACUUUCCCCCUGAUGAAGUCCUGUGUUGAGGUGGAAGUGUGUUUUGGAUCGUUGUCUUGCUGCAUGAUGAAGUUAAAAGACAGGAUGUUCCUGUAAAGUUCUGAAUUCACUCUGCUGCUCCAUCAUGAGUUCAUCAUCAAUAAAGAUCAGUGAGAAUGUUCCAGAAGCAGACAUGCAAGCCAUGACGCUACCUCCACCAUGUUUCACAGAUCAGCUCGUAUGUUCUGGAUCAUGAUCAGAUCCUUUCUUUCUCCACACUUUGGUCUUUCCAUCACUUUGGUAGAGGUUCAUGUCGGUUCAGGACGUUUGUGGAUCAUCUCUGUAUUUCUUUGUGAAUUCCAGUCUGGAUUUCUGACUCUUACUGCUGAUGAGUGGUUUACAUCUUGUGGUAUGUCCUCUAUAUUUCUGCUCUCCAAGUCUUCUUUGGUGGAUGGUGAGACCUUCACCCUGCCCUGUGGAGGUUGUUGGUGAUGUCACUGACUGUUGUUUUGGGUUUUUCUUCACAGCUCUCACAGUGUUGGUCAUCAGCUGUUGUUGUUUUCCCUGGCCGACCCGUUCGGCGUCUGUUCCUCAGCACACCAGCGGUUUCUUUCUUUUUCAGGACAUUCCAGAUUGUUGUACUGGUUAUACCCAAUGUCUGUGCAGUGCCUCUGAAUGAUUUUCCCUCUUUUCAUCAGGUUCAAAAUGGCUCGCUCUUCUCCCAUAGACAGCUCUCUGAUCGUCAUGUUGGUUUGUCCUUUUUAACAACAAAUGCAGUCUUCACAGGUGAAACUGAAGGUUAAAACCAUGAGUAGAUGUUCAGAGCUAUUUACUGUUUAAACAAUCUAUCUGGACACACCUGGGGAGCAAGAAACACCUGGCAGCCCUGUGUUCCAAUCGGUACCAUGUUCUAAAGUGUUUAACACGUCCAGAUGUAAAUAUGAGGAAAUGAAAGCUGAAAUUCUGAUCCAUCGUCUAAUAUUAAUCUUUUGAUCUCAAACACAAACGUCUUCAGCGUAUAGCUAAACAUAAACACAAAAGAACUGGCCUUACUGUUCCAAUACUUUCAGAGGGGACUGUGAGGACAGCACUACUCGCCCUCGUCAGACCGAGUCCGACACACACAGUAUGUCCCUCCCAUCCAGACCGCACACACUUUCCUUCUCUAGGUUUCUGUUUCUUGAAUGUUGUUGGUUGCUAUUUCACAUUAAACAUGGAGGAAAAAAACAGAUCUGACAAUUUAUCUUAGUUAAAUUUUUUAUAAUCACAAAAACCUGCUAUUUUAAGAGGGGUGUGUAAACUUUUAUAUCCAAUGUGUCCAAAAAGUCAGGAACCAAUGAGAGUACCGAGAACUACCAAGAAGCACCAUCUCUACCCUUUCAUUCAUUAAUGCCAUUUUUCACCUGUAAGAAAAAAAUAAAUAUAAAAAUAAGUAAAUAAAUAAUAAAUGCAAUAAUCACAUGUAUGUGCAGUUUAAACUCCCGUGGGUUCCGGACUUUUCAGGACAACGUCUCAGCACAGACCGAUAUUAACAGACUCGCGUAUAAUUAAAAAAUACUCAUUUAUAAAUACUAACACUGAAAGAUCAUAAAACACUUUACAUUUUUAAAAUUAAUUAGAAAGAUUUAACUUCACACCCAGUCUGUAACUACUGACAGCCUUUCACUUAAAAAAAAAGGUAUCACAACAUCACAGGAAAGUGGUUAGGGGUUCAAAUUUAGAGAUUAGGGUUAGGGGUUAAGGGUGAAUGGUUAGGGUUAAGGGCUUAGGAGAUAGCUGAAUGGGGUUAAGGGCUAUGGUUUAAGGUUUAGGGAUUAAGGGUUAAGCGCUACAGGUUAAGGGUUACAGAUUAGGGUGUGGGGUUAAGGGUUACAGAUUAGGGUGUGGGGUUAAGGGUUAAUGAGAUAGAUAGUGUUGAUUAGCUGUGUUAAUAACUAUGAUGUCAGCAGGAAGUCCUCAUAUGGAUGGUAAGGCAAAUGAGUGUUACAGUGGAUGUUUCAUGCAGAGAGAAGUGAAAAUAAAUAAAGAGUGUGUGAGUGUGAGAGAGAGAGAAAGAGAAAGAGCUGAGUCAUAGAGCAGAGUGUGAAACGGCCACAUCGCUGCUAUUCUUUUUUAAAAUUCUUUCUGUAUCCUCAACGUUAAUGAUUAUAAUUUCUGUCUGUCUGUCUGUCUGUCUGUGUGUGUGUGUGUGUGUGCGCGCACGUGUUAAUCAGGUAUAACUUCUGUUGAUAUUACAUUCUUCUAAACCUUAUCAUUUUGUUCAGUGAAUUAUUACUUAUUAUAAUUCAACCAAGCUGUAUUUAAAUUUUUGUCCAUAAUGACAGGACUGUUAGAACACACACAGAUUCGUCUCGUUGGAUAAAAUUCUGCACAUACGCACACAGCCUCAGUCUGAGCCCAGUGUAAAGAGCUGUGAUAAAUCAUAACAGUAGGUAUGUACACACACACACACACACUCUUCACAUACUUCCUGUUACACGUCUGACCAAUCAGCACGGAGUCUAUGAGCAGAGCAGCAGGGGAGGGGGCACUUACUUUUGGACAUUAUCUAUAGACUGGGCAUGGGAGUUCACCUCGUUUCUCCUGUACGACACGUUAACCACUGAAGUGUCACUAGCUAGCAUGAGCACAGGGUUAAACUGUAAUACCUGCUGCUGAUUGGAUGUAGGUGUGGUUAUGUUUAUGGGCGGAGUCAGAUGUCAGACGACAGCAUGACACUCUGCACACUGACAGACGACUAGCGCUCUGGAUGUGAAGUGAACAUCAUGAGGAGUUUCUCCUACAUCUCUCAAUCUCUGAAGCCCCGCCCCCUGAGCGCUCCUAUUGGCUGAGCAUCACUGCACCUAUUAAAGCGGGAUCUCAGGUGUGUGUUUUAUCCGUCUACAGGCUGGAUUUAUUGCUUUUAAAUGCUGGUUUUUCAUUCAGAGAACAAUAUGAAAUCAUUUAUUACACACACAAAGCAUCUUUAAUUCCAUAAUAUACACAUUUUAUAAAUAAUUUACUAAUAAUAUAUUUAACAAGUGUGACUGAGGUUCACACUGAUAUUACCGCCCCAUUUUACUUAUUUAUAUUUAUCUGACUGUUCUAUCGGAGUCUUCAUGAUUAGUUUUUUUAAAACACUAAAAUGAGAAAUAAAUCUAAUUAGAUGUUUUUAAAUACUUUUUUAAAGUACAUGAAUUAAUCUAAUCUAAUCACGUGACAGCUGUGUUUAAUAAAAAAUAAAUUCCUAAAUAUUUAAUUUUCCAUUUUAUAAACACAUCAUCUGGUCUGACGAGCUGGUGGGUUAAAAGCCCUGUUUUUAGUUUGUUAUUUAUUUAUUUAUUAAAGCUAGUUGUUUUGUGUGAAUUAGCACCGAGUCACGUGAUCAGAAACAGAUUCUGCAUUUUAAUCAGCAGGUUGUAGAACAGGGAGAUCACUACUGCCAUUAUUAAAUAAUGUUCAACACUGAGUCUAGAUAUCUCAGGGGACAGCGAGGGGACAGCGAGGGGACGCUAUGGUAUAUGGUGAUAUUAAUAUUACCAUCGUAAAGUGACACUUUACCCAGCACUACAGUCUGCACACACACACACACACACACACACACACACACACACACACACACUUCUCCUGCACAAGCAGAACACACACUGAAUCAGACAUGGAAAUGAAACGAGGAAGAGGAACAGAAAACAAACACACUACAUCUACACUGGGUUUUAAAAACAGACAUUAUGUUACAGUGUUCAGGUGAAGACUCUCACAACACUAACUUACCACCUCAGUUAAUCAUCAUCAUCAUCAUCAUAAUAAUAAUAAUAAUAAUAAUAAUAAUAAUAAUAAUAAUAAUGAUGGCGAUAAUAAUAAUAAUAAUGAUAAUGAUAAUAAUAAUAAAUUAUUCAGUUAUAAUCCGAGUUAAAAUGCAAAAUCUGCUUUGUUUUACAUGUGUAUAAAGUCGAGUUCAUUAUACGUUACUUUAUUUAUUAAACCUGUCUAAUUUUCCUCCUCAGUGUCAAAUCUGCAAAUUCUCCUUCAUUUAUUUUAAACCCUCAUAUUAAUCAACACAUUCACUCAGACAUUAAUUAUUGUUAUUUUAUUUACCACUUUCCUGAUGUUUCUGCUUUUCCUCGUUAGUUCAUUAAUUAAUUCGUCCUCAUUUUUAAAAACACCAAAAUAAAAAUAUAUACUAAUAUUUUUAAAAAUUCAUUUUACAAAACACUUCAAUUAACUGGACAUGAUUCACUGAGUCUUAUUCAUGGAUUUUUAUUAUUAAGCACUUAUCUAACACACACACACACACACACACACAUACAUAU